GAUGAAGAACGUAGCGAAAUGCGAUAAGUAAUGUGAAUUGCAGAAUUCAGUGAAUCAUCGAGUCUUUGAACGCACAUUGCGCCCCCUGGUAUUCCGGGGGGCAUGCCUGUCCGAGCGUCAUUGCUGCCCUCAAGCACGGCUUGUGUGUUGGGCCCCCGUCCCCGGUUUCCCCCGGGGACGGGCCCGAAAGGCAGCGGCGGCACCGCGUCCGGUCCUCGAGCGUAUGGGGCUUUGUCACCCGCUCUGUAGGCCCGGCCGGCGCCAGCCGACACCCAACUUUAUUUCUAAGGUUGACCUCGGAUCAGGUAGGGAUACCCGCUGAACUUAAGCAUAUCACUAAGCGGAGGA
RNAcentral lists this unclassified non-coding RNA (348 nucleotides) under soil metagenome. Its description in RNAcentral is "partial contains 5.8S ribosomal RNA, internal transcribed spacer 2, and large subunit ribosomal RNA". The stretch from base 1 to 120 matches the Rfam family "5.8S ribosomal RNA", at positions 35 to 154 of the family's 154-position model. The record is from RNAcentral.